GAUGAACGCUGGCGGCGUGCCUAAUACAUGCAAGUCGAGCGAACGGACGAGAAGCUUGCUUCUCUGAUGUUAGCGGCGGACGGGUGAGUAACACGUGGAUAACCUACCUAUAAGACUGGGAUAACUUCGGGAAACCGGAGCUAAUACCGGAUGAUAUUUUGAACCGCAUGGUUCAAAAGUGAAAGACGGUCUUGCUGUCACUUAUAGAUGGAUCCGCGCUGCAUUAGCUAGUUGGUAAGGUAACGGCUUACCAAGGCAACGAUGCAUAGCCGACCUGAGAGGGUGAACGGCCACACUGGAACUGAGACGCGGUACAGACUCCUACGGGAGGCAGCAGUAGGGAAUCUUCCGCGAUGGGCGAAAGCCUGACGGAGCAACGCCGCGUGAGUGAUGAAGGUCUUCGGAUCGUAAAACUCUGUUAUUAGGGAAGAACAUAUGUGUAAGUAGCUGUGCACAUCUUGACGGUACCUAAUCAGAAAGCCACGGCUAACUACGUG
This 497-nucleotide ribosomal RNA is filed under the name uncultured bacterium. RNAcentral describes it as "partial 16S ribosomal RNA". It matches the Rfam family "Bacterial small subunit ribosomal RNA", at positions 28 to 507 of the family's 1533-position model. The record is from RNAcentral.